GCUGUCCGUAUGUACAGAUAGAAGCUCUGUCUCUACUGGUGUUAUUCUUAGUGCGGCCGCCAGAGUGCGCUGUGCCCCUUCCCUGUUCCUGGCUGAAUGCAUGCAGGGACUUGUGAUUGGAACGGAGUGAGUACAGAAGGAGCUACGGACAGACACGCUAGUCUGCAGCAUGAUAAAUAUAUAUGGUGGGGAGAGAGAGAACUGCAGGAGAUCCCACAAUCCCCAACACAUGAUUCUCUGAGAGGGAGGCUGAGCAGCCCUGUUAUUGCUGCUGCUGAGUCAGUAUGGGGAAGGGGGUGUGGUGGGGCUGGAAGUGCCUCCGCAUUCAGCAUUUGCACCAGCACAGGGGCCACUGGCGAGAGAUAAACUUUCUAGGAUCUGCCCCGCCUCCUGCAAGAGCCCAGCAGCAGCGGCGGCGAGCCGAGACCCCCAGGACCUGCCUGCAAACAUAUGGAGAGACCUCAGGGGAGCCCCCGAUAAAGCUGCCUUCUGGGAGUCAGCUGAAUCCGUACCCCAGUCCAUGGCCGGGGAGAUCCAAUAUGGAAAUGGAUAAUGUACUGUAAGGUUUCUCUGUCGUCAUCCUUUUCAGCUAGCAGAAAGAACCAUGUCAUCUGUCCACUAAGGGCCGCAAGGAUAUUUGUUAUCUGGUCAGAGGAGGAUAUUCACACCCUGUGGUAGCUUAAAAACAGUGUGACUGCUUAACUGAACAAUGCAAAUGGUAGGGUUUUUCCUGGAUCCACAAAAUUGAUUAGAAACAAAUAAUAAUGUGAUGUUUUUUCGGGGUUCUGACUGAUAGUUCGAGAAGUUCAAAGGUCGACAAUUUUUUAUUUUUUUCUUACAUUGUUUCCAACUUUUUCAUCAUCAUUAUCAUUAUUAUUAUUAUUGUCCUUUUAUUUAUAUGGCGCCACAAGGGAUCCGCAUCGCCCGUCACAGAGUACAUAAUCAAAUGAGCAAUCAAGAAAACAGCCCUUACAGUACAAGACAAUAUAGGACAGGUGCAGAAAACCAGGAUAUAGGUGCCAUCAAGGGGAGUAUGGAGUAUACGAUAGUGUAAAUAAGAAAAGGAAAGGCACAUGAGGAAAGAAGUCCCUGCUCUUGCGAGCUUACAAUCUAAAAGACAUAUAGACUAUGUCCACAUAGACUAUGAUUGGUAACCUGUGUUUAGUGCAUUGGUAGGGGAGCGAGGCACCUUGUCCGAAGCAUGGCGACACAAAACACAAAAACCACUUUGAGACCGAUAUUUUUGUGUUGAUCAUUUCCAUGUCGACCUUUUGUACCUGUCAUCCUAAGGCAUGUUGACCAUUUUGGUGUCAACCAAUUCAUUGACAAUCUUUUAAUUCACACCCGUUUUUUUCAUGCUACAAAAAAAUAAGCAACUUUAUCCUGAAGUAUUAAAUAUGUAUGAGGGAAAUUCAAUGGUUUUUACAUGCCCUCUCAAGCCCAAUCUCCCGUCUAAAGUGAUGGCGCAAUAGUCAGAUUUGUGCCGCAGGAACGAAUUACACGUAUUGCACCCGAAUGCACCGAUUUUAAGAUGCGUAAAGUCGCUAAACCCUUUCAAAGUACUGGGCAUGCUGCUUUUGGGUGCCCGAAAGCCAGACUCUCUUUGUGGAUUUCUGCUCACCACGUCAGGAGGGUAGGAGUAGAAAUAAUGGGCGCCAGCAGACCUCACACCUAUCUGCACAUACAAUUUAAUUGCUUCCCGUCACUUUAAACAAUAGCUACGGACAGCGCAAAACAACUGAAUUCCCCCCAUAAAAAGCAAAAUAUGUUACUGUUGUCUGUAUUGUAUCUAAUGUGAUUCCAGCUGUUUUUGUUUUGUAAUGCAAAUUUCUUUAAAAAUAAAUGUAAAAAAAACUGUUUUUAA
This is a long non-coding RNA of Pseudophryne corroboree (corroboree frog), 1864 nucleotides long. RefSeq lists it as uncharacterized. NCBI's taxonomy places the organism in Eukaryota, Metazoa, Chordata, Amphibia, Anura, Myobatrachidae. The record is from RefSeq and is a predicted model, not a curated record. The transcript has 2 exons.